GGCAGUUCUCGGGUGAUAUACCCUGGAAUUGGGCUCCCUCCUCUCUGGUUCUGAGUGUGUCACCCCAGAACCGCA
Non-coding RNA from Myotis lucifugus (little brown bat), 75 nucleotides. The record is from Rfam. NCBI's taxonomy places the organism in Eukaryota, Metazoa, Chordata, Mammalia, Chiroptera, Vespertilionidae.